AGAUCACCACUUUGUUGGGAUGAAAUGACUAGAUGAUUGAAAUCAUCCGUCAAAAUUUGAUAGUGAAUAAAAUAGGGGCCAUGAUUGACAGAGUCAUAUGUUGACAAAUGACAAAUUGACCUAUGAUGUGAAAGUGGAGAGAUAAUUUCCAUAAAAGUUUCUCCAUCAAGAGAAAUCAUUGGACUCAAUGUGAAGGGUAAACCUAAACCCCGUUUUAUAGGCUCAUACGAGAUUGUAGAAAGGAUAGGCCCAAUAACUUACUGUUUGGCGUUAGCGCUAAGCUUUGAGAAUGUGCGUAAUGUAUCCCAUGUGUCGCAAUUAGAGAAAAAUGUUUACGAUUCAAAACAUAUGAUCCAUAAGAACAACAUUGUUAUUAGUCAAUAUUUGAGUCACGAAGGAAGAUCCAAAUCUAUCUUAGAUCGGGAAGUUCAGGUACUAAGGACUAAGUCGAUACCGAUAGUAAGGGACCUAUGAAUAUAACAUGGUCAAGAAUAGACUACGGUCUAACAAGAAAGUGAAGUACUCAGAGUUGUUUUCUGCGGUACAAAUUUCGGGACGAAAUUUCUUUUAAGGGGGAUAGUAUGUAAUGACCCGACUUUUUAUUAAGGAUUAUAUACUUUUAAAUUACUGAUUUAAGGAUUGAUUAUGGUAAUUAGGGAUCAGCAUCCAUUAAUAAAAUACGAACUUAUAUGAAUUUGAUAAUUUAUAUAUGUGAUGAUUUAUUUUUUUUAUUUUCAAUAGAUGAUGCACUCAAAAUAUAUUUUGAGUCCAUUAAUUUAUUGUGGAGAAUUUAACACUGAAGUGUUAAAUAUGAAUCUUUUAUCGAUUGUUUACUUAAGCCCAUGAGUAAUUUAAUUUAUGUUAGAGGCAAGCUCAAGUGAAUUUUAUGCUUCAAUGAGAAUUAGGCUUAUAUAUCUUAAUGUGUUUAUAUGAGAUUAAGCACAUAUGGUUCUCAUUCAUCCACAUCCCUCUCAUUCUUCUAUUAAACCAAUCACCAAUACGUUCACAAUUUUCUUCACCUACUACUUCACAAUUUUCUUCACCAAUACGUUCACAAUUUUCUUCACCAAUACGUUCACAAUUUUCUUCACCUACUACUUCACAAUUUUCUUCACCUCUAAAGUCAAUCUCCAAAUAGAAUUUUGCUUCUUUAAAACCUAUUCCACUAUCUCAACUCACCCAUUCCCACCUCUGCAGCAAGUUUUAUAAAGUAAUAGAGUGAAGAUUAUUCAUCUCAUUCAAUUCUUCUUCACAAUUGGCUUCUAAUCUAUGCCAUAUAUAAAAUCUGCAGAGACUAAUACCAUACACCUAUUCAAGGUUCAAAUAAACAAAAGCGUCUGAGUAACCUAUCGCGCUAAGGAAAGAGAAUCGUUGUCUUAAGUAGCAAAACACUGCAAUCAGGUUGAGCUGAUGUGAUGAUGGUGCUGCAAUGAGCGGAGUCUCCAGGGUUGUUAAUAAAUAGUUAACCUGUCUAGAAUAUGUCUUCAUACAUAUGUCUAGCUACUUUCCGCUGCAAGAUGUUGUUGAUGUUAUAGUAUGUUAUGUCAUACUUUGAGUCUUAAGAGAAUGGUUUCAUAUGAUGUAUAACUUGAUUAAUGAUAUUAAUUAAGUUUUAUGCUGUCUUUCA
Salvia miltiorrhiza (redroot sage) is the source of this 1627-nucleotide long non-coding RNA. RefSeq lists it as uncharacterized. The record is from RefSeq and is a predicted model, not a curated record. The transcript has 3 exons. NCBI's taxonomy places the organism in Eukaryota, Viridiplantae, Streptophyta, Magnoliopsida, Lamiales, Lamiaceae.